UACGGAGGGUGCAAGCGUUGUUCGGAAUUAUUGGGCGUAAAGCGCGUGUAGGCUGAUAUGUAGGUCAGAUGUGAAAUCCCUUGGCUCAACUAAGGAAGAGCAUCUGAAACCACAUGUCUUGAGUACGAUAGAGGAGAGUGGAAUUCCUAGUGUAGAGGUGAAAUUCAUAGAUAUUGGGAAGAACACCGGUGGCGAAGGCGGCUCUCUGGAUCGAUACUGACGCUGAUACGCGAAAGCGUGGGGAG
RNAcentral lists this ribosomal RNA (245 nucleotides) under uncultured bacterium. RNAcentral's name for it is "partial 16S ribosomal RNA". It matches the Rfam family "Bacterial small subunit ribosomal RNA", at positions 524 to 768 of the family's 1533-position model. The record is from RNAcentral.